Molecule: ribosomal RNA, 165 nt
Filed under: uncultured bacterium
Lineage: Bacteria
Description: partial 16S ribosomal RNA
Rfam family: Bacterial small subunit ribosomal RNA
Source: RNAcentral
UAGGGAAUCUUCGGCAAUGGACGAAAGUCUGACCGAGCAACGCCGCGUGAGUGAAGAAGGUUUUUCGGAUCGUAAAACUCUGUUGUUAGAGAAGAACAAGGGUGAGAGUAACUGUUCACCCCUUGACGGUAUCUAACCAGAAAGCCACGGCUAACUACGUGCCAG